Molecule: long non-coding RNA, 519 nt
Organism: Cheilinus undulatus (humphead wrasse)
Lineage: Eukaryota; Metazoa; Chordata; Actinopteri; Labriformes; Labridae
Exons: 6
Source: RefSeq, a predicted model, not a curated record
CGUAUAUAAGAGCACGGAAGGCUUUUCUCUGCCUCUUCCUCUUCACGCCGAUUGCGGAGAAGAGACUACGACCCAAAAGAAGUUCGGUUCAACUUGAAGCUACACCUAUUCCCCAGACCAUGGGUACCCAUUCAAACUACAGGUAUUCCACACUGAAGAUGGAAAGGGAGACAAUGGACAUGACUGGAGAACAUGGAGGUUACCCUCAUGGCUGACCCUGAGUCUGGAGUGGAUAAAGCAAUCUAUUGUAAAGGCAUUGGUAAGCUUGACUGAUCCUCCAUCUGAUGUUGGUUGCUGCCUGUCUGCUCAUGCCUCCCUGGCUUGUACAGGUCCAGCAGCAUGAUGGAAGAGGACCUGUCCAGACAGUCAUGGAGCUGUAUUGCAGGGGGUUCACCACUAUGAAGUGUCUUCUUGUGAUCACUUUUACUGAAGCAGUUGUGCAAGGAUUAUGUAGCAGUGAAAUGUUCAAAAUGGAUGGACUUGAAUCUGUUUGAAUGAAAUAAAAUGUCUUGAAUCAAA